CGCGGGGUGGAGCAGUGGUCAGCUCGUCAGGGGCGCAUUACCUGAAGGUCGCCGGUUCGAAUCCAGCCCCCGCUACCA
RNAcentral lists this transfer RNA (78 nucleotides) under subsurface metagenome. RNAcentral describes it as "tRNA-Cys". It matches the Rfam family "tRNA". From Rfam's summary of the family: Transfer RNA (tRNA) molecules are approximately 80 nucleotides in length. Their secondary structure includes four short double-helical elements and three loops (D, anti-codon, and T loops). Further hydrogen bonds mediate the characteristic L-shaped molecular structure. tRNAs have two regions of fundamental functional importance: the anti-codon, which is responsible for specific mRNA codon recognition, and the 3' end, to which the tRNAs corresponding amino acid is attached (by aminoacyl-tRNA synthetases). tRNAs cope with the degeneracy of the genetic code in two manners: having more than one tRNA (with a specific anti-codon) for a particular amino acid; and 'wobble' base-pairing, i.e. permitting non-standard base-pairing at the 3rd anti-codon position. The record is from RNAcentral.